GGAUGCCAGCAGUUUAGCUGUGACAUCCAUCACCCGCCUUGAUCACCAGGGUUGAUCUGGCUGAUCUAGCUGGCUAGGCAGGUAUCCCCUUCCUCCCCACUGCUCCAUGUGGGUCCCUCCUGAAGUUGUGUGCUUGGUGGCAGAGGAUGACCUUCCAAAAUAGAAGAGGACAUUUCCUACAUCAAGGGUAUACACAUAGCUAUAUUCCCCUGCUAGAAUGUCCAGACUAGAUCCCAAGGUCUCUCCGUAGGAGAACAGAAGGCAUUCAAACUUCCAAGACUCCAGGCACAACCAAAUGAGGCACUUCGUGUGGCAGUCUGCCUUCCUAG
This 329-nucleotide small nuclear RNA is filed under the name Neogale vison (American mink). RNAcentral describes it as "Neovison vison (American mink) 7SK RNA (ENSNVIG00000004352.1)". It matches the Rfam family "7SK RNA". Rfam says of the family: 7SK was discovered as an abundant small nuclear RNA in the mid-70s but a possible function has only recently been suggested. Two independent studies have found that 7SK RNA binds the CDK9/cyclin T complex (known as elongation factor P-TEFb). Lineage: Eukaryota; Metazoa; Chordata; Mammalia; Carnivora; Mustelidae. The record is from RNAcentral.